AUUGAACGCUGGCGGCAGGCCUAACACAUGCAAGUCGAACGAGUGGCGGACGGGUGAGUAAUGUCUGGGAAACUGCCUGAUGGAGGGGGCUAACUACUGGAAACGGUAGCUAAUACCGCAUACCAUUAUAUGUGCCCAGAUGGGUUUAGCUAGUUUGGGGGGUAACGGCUCACCAAGGCAACGAUCCCUAGCUGGUCUGAGAGGAGGACCAGCCACACUGGAACUGAGAACCGGUCCAGACUCCUACGGGAGGCAGCAGUGGGGAAUAUGGCACAAUGGGCGCAAGCCGGAUGCAGCCAUGCCGCGUGUAUGAAGAAGGCCUUCGGGUUGUAAAGUACUUUCAGCGGGGAGGCGUUACCCGCAGAAGAAGCACCGGCUAACGCCGUGCCAGCAGCCGCGGUAAUUC
RNAcentral lists this ribosomal RNA (406 nucleotides) under uncultured bacterium. Its description in RNAcentral is "partial 16S ribosomal RNA". It matches the Rfam family "Bacterial small subunit ribosomal RNA", at positions 30 to 526 of the family's 1533-position model. The record is from RNAcentral.